CGCGUCCCCGCCCCCCCCU
Molecule: ribosomal RNA, 19 nt
Filed under: Juniperus scopulorum
Lineage: Eukaryota; Viridiplantae; Streptophyta; Pinopsida; Cupressales; Cupressaceae
Also listed under: 1 other name
Description: partial 26S ribosomal RNA
Source: RNAcentral